Molecule: ribosomal RNA, 577 nt
Filed under: uncultured bacterium
Lineage: Bacteria
Description: bacterial SSU rRNA
Rfam family: Bacterial small subunit ribosomal RNA
Source: RNAcentral
CCUACGGGAGGCAGCAGUGAGGAAUAUUGGACAAUGGGCGCAAGCCUGAUCCAGCCAUGCCGCGUGCAGGAUGACGGUCCUAUGGAUUGUAAACUGCUUUUAUACGGGAAGAAACCCUGGCUCGUGAGCCAGAUUGACGGUACCGUAAGAAUAAGGAUCGGCUAACUCCGUGCCAGCAGCCGCGGUAAUACGGAGGAUCCAAGCGUUAUCCGGAAUCAUUGGGUUUAAAGGGUCCGUAGGCGGUUUAAUAAGUCAGUGGUGAAAGCCCAUCGCUCAACGGUGGAACGGCCAUUGAUACUGUUAGACUUGAAUUAUUAGGAAGUAACUAGAAUAUGUAGUGUAGCGGUGAAAUGCUUAGAGAUUACAUGGAAUACCAAUUGCGAAGGCAGGUUACUACUAAUUGAUUGACGCUGAUGGACGAAAGCGUGGGUAGCGAACAGGAUUAGAUACCCUGGUAGUCCACGCCGUAAACGAUGGAUACUAGCUGUUGGGAGUAAUCUCAGUGGCUAAGCGAAAGUGAUAAGUAUCCCACCUGGGGAGUACGUUCGCAAGAAUGAAACUUAAAGGAAAUUGACGG